RNAcentral lists this unclassified non-coding RNA (988 nucleotides) under Leishmania donovani. RNAcentral describes it as "gene:LdHU3.34.6420(CDS-product:Cullin_binding_put ative)". The record is from RNAcentral. Lineage: Eukaryota; Euglenozoa; Kinetoplastea; Trypanosomatida; Trypanosomatidae.
UCUUCUUCUACAGACGGGAAACGAACAUGAAGAACGCCAACCGCCCCAGGGCGUCCGUGAGCUUCGCUCGGGAGCGAAUCGUGUCAACCGCUGCGGCGUCAGCCACGAAGGGGCCUGCGAUGCAGUUCGUCUCCAAGGGAGCGCGAAGCGACAUGGAGCUGGUUUUUGACCGACUUCAUGCUCUAGACAAGUCCGCCCAGUCUGACACCAUUAGUGGUAAGGGACUGGCACAAUUCCUGAGUGAGGUCGGCGUCGAGGAGUCGUCCUUAGAGUGCAUGGUGCUCCUGUGGAAGUUGGGCGCCACUCAGAAAGGCUGCAUCACGCGGUCUGAGUGGCUAAUAUCCGUGUAUGCCCACGGCAUCGAGUCCAUCGUACAGAUGCGCCAAAACGUCACCGAAUGGGUAAAGGAUGUUCGCGAGAGCGGCGGCUCUUUUCUGCUCAUGUACAACUAUCUGUACGACUACAUCCGCGGCGAGGAGGAUCGCCGCAUGACGCUGACAACUGCACUCAGCGCGUGGGACGUCUUUUUCAGCAAGAACGACCUCUACGCAAAGUGGAAGGCAUGGGCAGUGGCCAACGUCAAGGGCGGCGUUUCCCGUGACCUUUGGCGGCAGCUCGGAAUCUUCUUCACGAUGGACACGACUGCCGCGCAACGCUUCGGCGACCAGAUCUCUGCUCUGCCGUGGCCAUCGGCAAUCGCUGACUUUCUCGACCAGGGCGGUGUGCCGGCCUCGUGAUUUGGCGCACUGAUGGCAUGUGAGGAGACGCUCAUGCACAUGUGGUCUUGAAACACUCAAACCCGUUUUGUUAAAGCUGGGGAGGAGGUGAAGAAGCAGCGGCAUCUGUGGUGUUGGGGUCAUCGUGGAUGUAUUUAUUUUAUUUCUCUUGUCUGCGGCUCUGUGGAUCUUCUCAGCCCAUCCCCAUUCCUCUUCGAUGGUGCAUACGAAAUAUCUUUCUCCGCUAUUUGUGAUGGACCGAUAUCGACUCG